This 200-nucleotide ribosomal RNA is filed under the name uncultured bacterium. RNAcentral describes it as "partial 16S ribosomal RNA". It matches the Rfam family "Bacterial small subunit ribosomal RNA", at positions 29 to 258 of the family's 1533-position model. The record is from RNAcentral.
AACGAACGCUGGCGGCAGGCUUAACACAUGCAAGUCGAACGCCCCGCAAGGGGAGUGGCAGACGGGUGAGUAACGCGUGGGAAUCUACCUAGUUCUACGGAACAACAGUUGGAAACGACUGCUAAUACCGUAUACGCCCUACGGGGGAAAGAUUUAUCGGAAUUAGAUGAGCCCGCGUAAGAUUAGCCAGUUGGUGAGGU